Molecule: ribosomal RNA, 1102 nt
Filed under: Meira sp. (in: smut fungi & allies)
Lineage: Eukaryota; Fungi; Basidiomycota; Exobasidiomycetes; Exobasidiales; Brachybasidiaceae
Description: SSU rRNA
Rfam family: Eukaryotic small subunit ribosomal RNA
Source: RNAcentral
UAUUUAUUAGAUACAAAACCAAUGCCCUUCGGGGCUCCUUGGUGAUUCAUGAUAACUAUACGAAUCGCACGGCCUUGCGCCGGCGAUGGUUCAUUCAAAUUUCUUCCCUAUCAACUUUCGAUGUUUGGGUAUUGGCCAAACAUGGUUGCAACGGGUAACGGAGGGUUAGGGCUCGACCCCGGAGAAGGAGCCUGAGAAACGGCUACUACAUCCAAGGAAGGCAGCAGGCGCGCAAAUUACCCAAUCCCGACUCGGGGAGGUAGUGACAAUAAAUACUGAUACAGGGCCCUUUCGGGCCUUGUAAUUGGAAUGAGUACAAUUUAAAUCCCUUAACGAGGAACAAUUGGAGGGCAAGUCUGGUGCCAGCAGCCGCGGUAAUUCCAGCUCCAAUAGCGUAUAUUAAAGUUGUUGUGGUUAAAAAGCUCGUAGUUGAACCUUGGGCCUGGCUGGCCGGUCCGCCUCACCGCGUGCACUGGUCCGGCCGGGCCUUUCCCUCUGUGGAACCCCAUACCCUUCACUGGGCGUGGCGGGGAAACAGGACAUUUACUUUGAAAAAAUUAGAGUGCUCCAGGCAGGCCUAUGCUCGAAUACAUUAGCAUGGAAUAAUAAAAUAGGACGCGCGGUUCUAUUUUGUUGGUUUAUAGGACCGCCGUAAUGAUUAAUAGGGACAGUCGGGGGCAUCAGUAUUCAACUGUCAGAGGUGAAAUUCUUGGAUCAGUUGAAGACUAACUACUGCGAAAGCAUUUGCCAAGGAUGUUUUCAUUAAUCAGGAACGAAAGUUAGGGGAUCGAAGACGAUCAGAUACCGUCGUAGUCUUAACCAUAAACUAUGCCGACUAGGGAUCGGACGGUGUUAUUCAUGACCCGUUCGGCACCUUACGAGAAAUCAAAGUGCUUGGGCUCCAGGGGGAGUAUGGUCGCAAGGCUGAAACUUAAAGAAAUUGACGGAAGGGCACCACCAGGGGUGGAGCCUGCGGCUUAAUUUGACUCAACACGGGGAAACUCACCAGGUCCAGACACAAUAAGGAUUGACAGAUUGAGAGCUCUUUCUUGAUUUUGUGGGUGGUGGUGCAUGGCCGUUCUUAGUUGGUGGGGUGACUUGU